Molecule: ribosomal RNA, 253 nt
Filed under: uncultured bacterium
Lineage: Bacteria
Description: partial 16S ribosomal RNA
Rfam family: Bacterial small subunit ribosomal RNA
Source: RNAcentral
UACAGAGGGUGCGAGCGUUAAUCGGAAUUACUGGGCGUAAAGCGUGCGUAGACGGUUAUUUAAGUCGGGUGUGAAAGCCCCGGGCUCAACCUGGGAAUUGCAUUCGAGACUGAAUAGCUAGGGUACGGUAGAGGGAAGCGGAAUUUCCGGUGUAGCGGUGAAAUGCGUAGAUAUCGGAAGGAACAUCAGUGGCGAAAGCGGCUUCCUGGACCAAUACUGACGCUCAUGUGCGAAAGCGUGGGGAGCAAACAGG